This is a long non-coding RNA of Helianthus annuus (common sunflower), 349 nucleotides long. RefSeq lists it as uncharacterized. The transcript is spliced from 3 exons. NCBI's taxonomy places the organism in Eukaryota, Viridiplantae, Streptophyta, Magnoliopsida, Asterales, Asteraceae. The record is from RefSeq and is a predicted model, not a curated record.
UGUUGGUGGGGAUCGAUCGAACAAGCAAGAGAAGGGGAGAAACCCUAGCUCAAGCAAAAACAAGCAAUUGGAUCUUAAUUCUCAAGAUAAUCCAGUGCAUGAGUCCAUAAAUCUGAAUAACUAACCUCAAUUUCGUAAGUGGCAUAAAGGAAGAAGGUACAAGCGCCAAGAAAACGGAAGGAGCGCAAGAUCGAGGUAAAGCACCUCUAUAGGCGAUUUGGAGAUAUGGGACGAGCACAUGUUCAAGCCUUAUGAUACCAAGCGCUUCCGCAACUUAUAUGCAUGCUUUUGGGUCGUGUUUGUUACUUGUUAAACUUUGUUGAAAUGUUUUAGAAUUGAAAACUUGUCG